Molecule: ribosomal RNA, 250 nt
Filed under: uncultured prokaryote
Description: partial 16S rRNA
Rfam family: Bacterial small subunit ribosomal RNA
Source: RNAcentral
ACGGAGGAUGCAAGCGUUAUCCGGAUUUAUUAGGUUUAAAGGGUGCGUAGGCGGAGACUUAAGUCAGUGGUAAAAGGCAAUAGCUUAACUAAUGUAAGCCAUUGAUACUGGGUUUCUUGAGUUCGGUAGAGGUAGGCGGAAUGUGUUGUGGUGCGGUGAAAUGCAAUGAUAAAACACAGAACACCCAAUGGGGAGGGAACUUUAUUUGCCGGUACCGGCGGUGAUGCCCGAAAGCGGGGGGAUCAAACAG